This 163-nucleotide small nuclear RNA is filed under the name Echinops telfairi (small Madagascar hedgehog). RNAcentral's name for it is "U1 spliceosomal RNA (ENSETEG00000021731.1)". It matches the Rfam family "U1 spliceosomal RNA". From Rfam's summary of the family: U1 is a small nuclear RNA (snRNA) component of the spliceosome (involved in pre-mRNA splicing). Its 5' end forms complementary base pairs with the 5' splice junction, thus defining the 5' donor site of an intron. The record is from RNAcentral. Lineage: Eukaryota; Metazoa; Chordata; Mammalia; Afrosoricida; Tenrecidae.
AUACUUACCUGGCAGGGGAGAUACCAUGAUCACGCAGGUGGUUUUCCCAGGGCGAGACUUAUCCAUUGCACUCUGUUGUGCUGACCCCUGUGAUUUCCCCAAAUGUGGGAAACUCGACUGCCUAAUUUGUGGUAGUGGGGGACUGCAUUCGCACUUUCCCCUG